Carassius auratus (goldfish) is the source of this 1620-nucleotide long non-coding RNA. RefSeq lists it as uncharacterized. The transcript has 3 exons. The record is from RefSeq and is a predicted model, not a curated record. Lineage: Eukaryota; Metazoa; Chordata; Actinopteri; Cypriniformes; Cyprinidae.
UUCCAUGUUGUCGUAGCUGAACGGGUUCAAUCAUCGCCAGUGAUCUGUCAGUGAGUUGGAGAACAUUUCAACUAUCACUUGGAAUCUGAAGAAUUCUUUGUGACAGAAUAAGUGCGUUUCAAAAGAACAAACGCUCCCUCUGGUGACAUGGGUGUAAAAAUGCUGCAGUGCUUUCCUUUCUACAGACGCUGCAAGGAGAAGUGCAAAAAACAGUGCCCUCCUGAGACGGCAGUAGCAAGUGAAGAGGUGAAACCUCGGCUGUGUUCCACUACCUCCUGGGGCAGUGAAGGGGACAGCAGCAGCAGUCCGAGGUGCCCACAGGCCUAUUUUUCCCACAAGGCUCGGCUCUCGCUGAGACACCAGAUGGAUAGCAACAUCAAUGCAGUGGAUGCAACAUACUAACUUUGUCCUGCAGGCGGUCUCUUGAGAAUCCAGAUUUACAGUCCCUGUCCAGUUAAAGUCCCUUACUAGAGAGAUUUUUUUGGGGAACUGGAGAAUGAGCCAAUAGGAACAAGAAACAUGGAAGUUUUCCUCUCCUUGCAUGCCCACGGACACUCAUGAGCAUCAGCUGUAUGCAUUGUAAUAUCAAUGUCAAGAUACUUGUCUGAAUUUCGGUACAGCAAUGAAUGUAAAAAGGUACAACUGAGUGUAAUUGGGUUAAAGGGAUAUUUAGAAACAAUCUUAAGAGUGAUGUUUACAUGAUAACCAUUAAGUGCUUUUUUUCUAGCCUGUAGCAUUUGCCCUCCACAGCCUAAAUCUAAAUCAUCUCAACUAGAUGCUGGUUUUAUCUGUGGAGACACUGACACUAUAAUGCAAUUUAAUUUUUUGAGCCAGAUAUAAAUUUGUUCAGGAUUUUCGAUGAAUAGGAUACCUAAUAAUAUGAACCACACUUUGCCUUGCUUGUCAUAAAUUUAGUGUGUACUGUGAAGCAACAAAAUGUUUUUUUUCUUCACAUUAACAGAAAGGACCAUUUUUAAGCUCAUUUGGCUUUAUUUGUAAGUGCCAUUUUCUUUGCCUUGCAGCUGCAUCAAGGUCCUUUAACAUAAUGUUUAUAACACAGCCCAGACUUUAAUUUCAUUUUAUUAUGUACAGUUUUCGGGUCUUUUUGACAUAUGCAAUGACCAUAAACCAAGUUAGCUUGAGGGGUGUUUUUGUAAAAAUUAAAAAAAAAGAUGGUUGUUUAAUAGACUUUAUGUAAUUAUGCAAUUUCACCAACUAAUAUAUUAUUAUGAAGAUGGCCCAGUUUCUAAAUCUUUGAAAGGCUUUCUUCUUAUUGCAUGCAUAAAACUAUUGAAAUGAAUGGAGAUGUUUGUCAUGAUCCACUCAUUGCUUCUGUUACGACAUGUUUGAAAUAGCAGGUUUACCUACUAGUGAUGUGUAUCUAGACUUCUUCACUUUGUUGUGUGCACAUGUAUUAACAUUUGUUUUUUAAAUGUUAAAUGUGGAUUUUUACACUCAAACCCAGUAAAAGAAACAGAAUUCACUAGACACUGUUACACCUUUGAAGUCACAAUGUGAAAGAGAAGAUAUUUUUGGUAUGUUUUGUAUGCAAUGUCUAAAUCAAUUUUAUAGUAAAAAAAAAAAGGGACAAUGUAAAAAUAGAUUAUAAUAGAUUUAAAA